UGCCAUUAAUUCCAGUUCUCUGGAGGUAGA
RNAcentral lists this non-coding RNA (30 nucleotides) under Mus musculus (house mouse). The record is from RNAcentral. Lineage: Eukaryota; Metazoa; Chordata; Mammalia; Rodentia; Muridae.